RNAcentral lists this ribosomal RNA (479 nucleotides) under uncultured bacterium. Its description in RNAcentral is "bacterial SSU rRNA". It matches the Rfam family "Bacterial small subunit ribosomal RNA", at positions 30 to 507 of the family's 1533-position model. The record is from RNAcentral.
AUUGAACGCUGGCGGCAUGCUUUACACAUGCAAGUCGAACGGCAGCGCGGGGGCAACCCUGGCGGCGAGUGGCGAACGGGUGAGUAAUGUAUCGGAACGUAUCCUGUAAUGGGGGAUAACCAGUCGAAAGAUUGGGUAAUACCGCAUACGCACGAGAGUGGAAAGUAGGGGAUCGCAAGACCUUACGUUAUAGGAGCGGCCGAUAUCUGAUUAGCUAGUUGGUGGGGUAAAGGCCUACCAAGGCGACGAUCAGUAGCUGGUCUGAGAGGACGACCAGCCACACUGGGACUGAGACACGGCCCAGACUCCUACGGGGGGCAGCAGUGAGGGAUUUUCGGCAAUGGGCGAAAGCCUGACCGAGCGACGCCGCGUGAAGGAAGACAGCCUUACGGGUUGUAAACUUCUUUUCUGUUUGAAGAAUAAGCCCGUUGAGACGGGUGAUGCCGGUAGGACAGGAAUAAGCAUCGGCUAACUCCGUG